GUGGAAUUGCUUCGGUUUAGAAGGAACUCAUGCAUGAUAACCAAAGCGAAAACACAGACUUACUCCUUGUUGGUUUCCAGGUUCCCUGGACCUGAGCCACGCAUGAAGAAGGGGUUGGUCCCUCAGGAAGGAAGGAUGAUCGGAGGUGCCGUGGAGCCGCCAUGUUUGAUGAGGCUGGGAGUGGCCGAGGUUUGGAAAUAUUUUUCUGCCUAAAGCUCUGCGAUUGCAUAGGUUUUCUUAGCCCUGCGGAAUUCCUCUAACUGCCUGGGGAUUUCUAGGUUUCUAAGAAGCUUGAGGUGGUUGUUAACCUAAUACCCAGUUGAAGGGAGCCAAGACAGGCUUUCCAUGCCAGCUGUGUAGUAGGCUGUCUUCUUAAAAGGCUCUUUAAAAUCAGGCGCGUAAGGGAAUCCUUCUUUCCUGAACUAGGGCGUCUGAAACUGGGUCAAUGGUUCUCAUCCCCAUCUUCCAGUUUGCUUUGCCGAAGCACAGUGUAAGCAAAUAAAUAUCAAUGAAUUGCUUAAUGAUUUUCAUAAGGUCCCAUAUUUUCAAGGCAAGGGGCUCUCCUGAAAUGUUUGAUCUACUCCGUAUGAAUCUGUUUUCCAAAUGGCCAGCACAUGUUGAGGCCUGCUGCCCUCCGGGUUACAGGAAGAUGCCUUUGAUGGGUUAACCGCAGAGCAAGUGAGCUCUUUUUAAGUCCUUUUCAAAAGUUCCUUUGUCCUGCUGUGGAUCUUGCCACUUGCAUUGGAUCAGCGGGAGACCGCUCCUGGCAAAGGGUUCUAGUACAUUCUCCCUCUGAUCCGGGUUGGGUCCCUGGGUAAUGCCAUCUGUAAUCUGGAGUCCCAAAGGUUGGAGUUUAAGCCCGAGGCAGCUGGGAAACAAUUACUGAGCUCUAGGUGGGCCACACACUUUUCCAGCACUGUCCACCCAAGUGUGAGGCCGGAAUGAAUUUCCUUAAAGCCAAAUGAAGUCACCAUCAUUCUCAACCAUCUUGGGGGAAGGCUGGUCUUGCUAUUAACGAAACUUCUUGGCAGCCGCCUGAUUCUGCCCUCAGCGGGAUAUUACUACGUUCGAAGCGGCCCUCCGUGUUCUAUGGGCUUGUCCGUUCUUUUCCCGGCCUGGGCGGAAAUGCAUAGACCAUACCUUUCUCGACCCCUCGCGCACGCCUAGUCAAAGGGUGAUUCGGUUUGGCUUAUUUCUACAGAUUCUGAGACACAUUCCGGUCACAGCAUAAUGAAUGGACACACAGGGCUAUCAUCUAGUUGGGUGGCCAUAUUGGAGAAAUUAAGGGCGAAGAAAAAGGCAAUCCGGGUCCCUGCCGGCACGUGGGUGCAGUUCCUUGGGGACACAGCAAUCGUUGAGGACCAAGAUAUUACGUUUUAGUUGUUCUAUAAAAACCAAACGUGUUGUGAGCAACGCUGAACUUUGAAUCCAAAAGUGUCGUAACUACUUAUAAAAACAGAGCAAAAUGUAUCAGAGAAUAAGAUUUAAGAAAAGAGGAACAUCUUUUCCUCUUUGUUCUGUUCUGAGUGUUUUUUUUAAUCGUAAAUAUUACCAUUAUUAGGUACUCCUUCACCCUAGAUUGACUAUAUACUUCCGAGAUAACCUUUAUUUUGUCUUGCCAGCUGUGAUCCUGGGUAUUCAUUCAAAAGCAACAACUCCUUACUUCUCCAUACUGCUGGUAGCUUUGGUUCCAUCCGGUCAACAUUUAUCAGGUGGUGACUUGGGCAGGCCCGGUAGUAUCUCGGCCUUUAAAAGCAGAUGAUGUUUCUUUUGCAUGCUGUCUCUCUCUCUCUGUCUGCCUCUAUCUCUGUCUCUCUCUCUCCUGAUACUAAUUUAGGUCCAGUGAUGGCCGAAGCUCUUUUUCUCAGGCUGCUGGCACUUUGUUCUCUUCGAGAGUUAUUUCCUUCUCAGGCAAGAGAGUCUUGCUAAUUUCAGACAAGCCUUCAAACUACAUUUUCUGUCUGGACUAAUGGAAUUACGGUCCACACAGCCACCUAGCCCAGAAAUCUGGGAGUCUCUUCUUUCCAACUGUCUUCCCACAUCCAAUCAACCACCAGCUUCUGUUGGGCUCCUGUCUUGCAAAAAUCCUCAUUGCAGAAGUCUGUCCUCCCCCACUCCCACUGUGGACUCUUGCCCCACCUUCCACACUGUGCCUCUUACCUGGGUUUGCCUCCAAAUGACCUGCUGAUUAUUCUCUUUGUCUCCAUCCUCUGUCCUUUCCUCAUCCGUUCUUGUCCUUUCUCGGGCAAAGGUUACGUUGUUCUUGCCCGAAUUACAAUGCAAUAACCACGAAAUCAUGCAGCUAUGAGUCAAACUCAUUGGCAAAGCUUUUUUUUUUUUUUUCAUUAAGAUUAGGUCUAGAAUUUUACUGAAUGUUUUCCAUUAUCUAUUGUCGUAUGUCCAUGAGAUAAAUUAUAUGACUGAUUUUUGAAUGUUAAACAAUCCUUGCAUGCCAUAUAAAAUAUAUUUUAUAUGCUAUUUAUGCACACACUCACUUUGUAUUUCUUGCUUGUAUUUAUUUAGUAUUUUUGGAUCUCUGUUUAUAUGUGAGAUUGAGUCAUCUUCUGUCCUUGUCUGGCUUCGACAUCAGGAUUAUAAUGGCUUUAUAAAAUAUGUUGGGGAAUUUUUUCUGCUUUUCUGUUCCCUAGAAUGGUUAUUUGUCAGGGGUUAUUUCUUUCUUGAAUUUCUGGAAAAAACUGUCUGCAAAAUCUUCUGGAGCUAGUACUGCCCGUGGUGUAUUUUUGACUAUUGAGUUCAUUUCCCGCCACCACCCCCCUCCCCCCGCCCCAUUACUGGUUGUAGGUUUAUUCGGUGUCAAUUUCUUCUUUGUUAAUUUCCAUAAUUUAUGCUUUCUAAAAACUGUGCAGUGUAUCUAAGGUUUCAAAUAUAUUGGCCUAAACGUUGUUCAUGUGAUUAUCUCAUGAUUUUUAAAUAUUUGCUUUUUCAGUUUCAAUGUCUCUUUUCAUAUCUAGUACUGUUUAUUUCUGCCUCUUAAGAAAAAAUCAUUCAUGCCAGGAGUUUGUCUGUUUAAUUACUUUCCUGAAACAACCAGCUUUUCAUUUUGUUGAUCAGAUGACCAACCAUUCACUUCUGACACCAUCACAAGAGUAAUUUUUAGGAAACCCAAAUGCACGUUUGAAGACCCACGCUGGGCUCGCCACCCCACAACCAGCCUCUAUCUUCUUCACCAGCUCCUCUCGCCGCACUGAGCCCCCAUCUUCUCUCCCCUCCAACAACAUCAGAUUCCUUCGGGGCCCCAAAAUGUCAGCUCAUUUCAUGCUCUGUAUCUUUGCACAGACUUUUCUUUUUCUCCCCCCCUCCCUCCAAGCCCCCACGCUAUUCAUUUGGUCCAAGUCUUUAAGUUCCAUCUCAAGUUUUCCUCCUUUGCACCGAUCUUGUACCUUUCUUGCAUUCCUAUUUUUGCCUUCACUUCUGGACCACGAAAUCCUUGAGGGUAGGUGCAAUCUAUUUUUCAUCUUUAUUAUGGGCACUCUUAACUUCUUUUUCUUACCCCCGUAUCACUCCUUUUACAAACAAGAAGCAUAAACAGCACAGACGAGAUUACACUGUGUCUUUUCCCUCUAUUUUAAGAAAGGUUAGCAUCCAAACCACUCCAUGUGAGAUACCAGCUAAAUUAACAUCCCUCUUCCUCCCUUGUCAACAUGCACUUAGCAUUGACCCACCUAUUUGCUAACACCUUUAAUCUUGAGAUUUUUUAAGGCAAUAUUUAUGUCUGGUUAGUUCCAAACUGCUUUAUGUCUGGACAUCUCAAUGCACUUCAAAUGCCAGACCAGAUCUGAAUUGGGCUGUCUGAUGUCUUCCUCGUUGAGAGUUUACUUAUAAAAUUAUGCACUGUUUAAUGAAAAGGGAUGAUCGUGUUUCACGAGCAAGCCCCCAACUUUCCUAUUGAGGCAAAAUAUUGCAGGUAGGUAAUCCAAAGAAAUCCCCAUUCUAGCUCAUAGUUUUUCUCACUGAGGAACUUAUACUUGAUAACAGUCAACCUAGAUUUGCAUACACCAAAUAGGAUGCUAUUUAAAAGAUGCUAUGUAAAACCACUUCGGCUGAGUGGUUCCCAAGCUCAGGAGUUAGGAAGCCUGGCCUUGACCCCCAGCCAUACCCCUUCACAGCCCAGCGGGGACUUCAACCCCUGAAAGUCUCGAUAGUCAAAGAGUAAUGAUCAUACAGUGACCAAAUAGUGAUGAUUUAGGGCUAAAUCAUAGCGUUCGCAAGGAAAUGCCUUGUGCGUUUCCCAGAGCACAGUAGUCUGGAGCACUGCAUUUCAGUUUGAACUUGCACGAGGAGAAGUCACAACUAAGCCUACCGUGCAAAUGGUGAUUUCUCAUUGACAACACUAUUACCCAGGCAUUCAGCAUUAGCCGAUUUAAAGAAAAUCCCGCUUUCCUUGAGGCUCCGUUUGCUUUCUAAACUUUCUGGCCCCGACCAACACCCUUUGCUAAUCCAUUUUAUUUUCCUUGUUUUCCUCCAGGGACGACGGAUCGGACGUUGGGAUUUGGAAGCCCGGCAUUCUACGCUGAGCGCAAACAGACCACCGAGUCGGGGCAGCUGGCCCCGCGAUGCUCUUUGGUGAAUGGUUUUGCGUCACCCCGAAGUCAGAGCGUCCCUGUCCUUGCUCUGCCUGCUCGGCACUAACCUGGCCACGCUUAUCACCCCAAAUCGGGACAUCGAGUUUUCCACUUGCGAGAAGACUCCAGCUCACGAAGUGCCUCUCUCCCUCUGUGAAGGCGAGUAACCAAGCCGAAAUGUUCAGCCAAAAAAAGCGUUUGCCGACAUCGCUUUAAAGUAAUCAUCUCCCCUCAAGGCCGGCCGCUCUUUCACAGGCACCCCAUCCUGCCGCUGGGAAAGCAAACCUUUUCUGCGCUCAUUCUGGGCCUCCACCAGAACGGUCCGGUAACUGAAAGUCAUUUUGGGUUUUGGUCACCCUCCGGGCUACGGGCCCAUUACCCAUCCACUGUGCUACCGAAAUCCGGGGUGAGGAGAGGUCCCGGGGGAGAUGUGAAGAGCCAGCGGCUGGCUUUGGCCUGAGCAGCUGAGCCUUGGCCUGCGGCCUUGGCUCCCUUGCCCCCAGGACUGAUAGAGCCUGUGCAUGUCUGUCCCCACGGCUUCUCUGUGUUCUUGGGGCCCGGGUGGACUGGUGUGGGACAGGAGGAGAGUGAGGGGGACCUGAGCCCCAUCCGGGGUCUCCAUGCUUCCAGUCUGCCUCAAGUUGUCCGGGAAAGGCUGACCCAUAUUCCACAUACCAGCUCUGAGCAGGACACAUCUGCUCACUCCUCCUCCCCUUCCUCCUCCUGUUCUCCCUCCUCCCCCUCCUCCUCCUUCCUCGGCCAACAGGGCAGCCAGACCUGCAUACCCGGUCUCUCUCGUCAGCCUGCUGGCAUGAUGGGGCUCAAGGGGGCCACCAGGGGGUGAGCACCCCCAGUCUGAACCUCCUGGCCUUCCCCCAUCGCGUGCCCUCCAGGAGCACGGCAGUAACCAGAAGGGUACGGAAAAGUCCAUCUCUUGGGCUUGUUCACAAUUAUUUCCUUCCAGCCUUGGUUUUUGGAAUGCUUUGCUGCGUUUCUUUUGAGUGGGCAGAUGGCAGGAUGCUGGGGGUGUAAAACAGCUAUGAAAAACAAGAUGAUUCCGACAGAAGGAGUAUGUACAGCCCCUGCUGGACCAUCCCAAUAUUAAUCAGGAGAACUGGCCUUUUGUUUUUGUUUUCGUUUUUUCCCCUGGGAUCUUUAAAGUUUGCGUGCCUUCUCUCUGCUUUCCAAAAAAAAAAAAAGGAUAAUACGUAAAUGCACCACUUUAAGGGCUUCAGCUGGGAAAGCUGGUGUCAUUUUUGGGAUUCAGUUUAUUGCGAGGAUGAGCUCGAGCUGAAGGACCUUAGAGCAAGACCCGUGGCUUCGGGGAGGAACGCGAAAAUGGAGCUUCGGGAGAGAAAAGCCGACGGCGGGUCACCAGCGCUGGUGCCCGUCCGUGGUGCAGGAGCCGUGCCUGAAAGAGAUAAUUUCAAGUUGAGCUGUGGUUUACCGCGGUGUCCUCGUGAUCGGCUGAGUGGUCAGAUGUCAGGGGUGACUGAAAAUAAGUUCAUUUUCCCACAGUGAGAGAAAAAAGAAGAAGGAGGGGGAAAAAAAAAAGGAACAGCCCUGCCCGUAUGAAACAAAUACUUGCACAUUUCAGAGUCUGGCCGGAGCAGGCUUGAACGUGCACCAUCACGCAUGUGACUUUUGUGAAGCCAGCCGGGGAAGAAACGACAAUUAUUGCCCUGGAUUAGCCUAACACGUUACCCCUCCCCCGCCACCCCCGUUGAGCACAGACGGUCUUUCACGGGGCGAUCGCUGCGCCCCACUGUUGGGCCAACUCGGAAGAUCUUUGGGGAAACGAGGGUGGCGCGUCUAUGUCAUUAUGUCGCCGGUGGGGAUAAGGGAAGGACGGGUGGAGCGUCUGGUGAUCCCACCCCGCGAUCCUACCCGACCCUCUGGUGCCUCCGGGCUUUAUGAAGGUGCGCGAGCUGGGUGUGCGUGAGUGCUCUGGGACUCAAAGUGUUAAAGUGGCCUCUGCAAUGGCGAAAAACGGCUUAACCGCAGACUCAUCCUGUGUUGGCCUAGUUGUGUGCUUCUGUGUGUGUGUGUGUGUGUGUGUGUGUGUGUGUAAUUUUUUCUUCCUUUUCAAAUACUAUUCUCUUUCAUGAUCUCAUUUCCUAAAAUGUCUCCUUUCUGAUUCAGUGAGAGGGAUUCCAUGGUUCACCACCCGGCACAGGGUACUUCCUUCCAUCACAGAUACCAGAAAAGCACUGAAGAUCUCAAAGGUGGAAACGCAGAGCAUCAAAGCACCGAUCCGAAGGCCAGAGGCUUGAUUUGGAAAUCACACACCGGGCAGCCGCAAACCCCGCGUCCCGAUGCCUUUUCUUUUCUCUUGUCCUUUUGUUCCUAAUGCAAUGCAUUCUGACCCCAUCUCUUCCAUCCCACUGAGCCCGCAGCACCUUGAGCGGUUCAGUGGCCGUAAACUCCCCUGCCGACUCUGUUUUGGCUGGAAUCGCAACCCACAUAUGGGAGAAUCCUGCCGAAACAUCACAGAGCUAACAGCGCGCCUCCGUGCAGUGGUGGCCGGUCAGCAGAAAAAGGUGACAUCAUGGCUAUUCCAGGACUUCAGGUCCGCAGCACAAAGUGACUUCCCUGCUCUACAUCAGAGUCAGAACUUGGAUUCGAGACAAAAACAACCCUCCCUUCCCAUAAAUAUCUGCUUGGGGGCUCAAGACUAUUCGAAGCGCAACGGCUCAGAAAUGGUCCCUUUCCGUGGAGACCCGUCUGAUUUUCCAAAUCCAAUCACAAACUUUUUAAUAGCAUGUCAUGAACCUCUCAGCUCAUUAUUUCUCUUCAAAGCCCUCCGGUUUGCCAGCUUAGAGCCUGUCAAGUGUUGUUUGAUGAUGGACUACGCCAUAAAUAAACGCAUAGGACAUGCUAGAAAUCCACCCUUCACUACUUCUGGCUUUCCCGCCAGGAAUACUGCCAUAUAAUCAGGGAUGUGUGAUUUGUGGCAAUUGCUCUGGAUCGAGGGUUGUUUUUUUUUUUAACGUGUCCAGUGUGUAAUGUAGGUAAUAUAACAGAUUUAUCACCUUUACAUAAAUCCCAUUUGUUUUUCCCCUUCCUGUUCCUUCUACCCCCUCUCACGGUUAGGACGUUGGAGCAAAGAGUAGGAAUAUAGACAAACCCUCUGAAAUAGCAAUCACGGCCUUACCCCUUCCUUCCAGCAGGAAAUCAAGGCACUGGAUAAGUUACUACACCUCUAAUAUCCACUGUUCCCUCCGAUGUUUUUAAGUUGUGAGCAGACAACCAUUUUACAUGGGUAACUGGCCAUGAAGGUCAGCACCAGCAGGGAGGUUACUGUUGUAAUCAAAUAAAGCUCAUAGACGCU
RNAcentral lists this long non-coding RNA (7914 nucleotides) under Lynx pardinus (Iberian lynx). Lineage: Eukaryota; Metazoa; Chordata; Mammalia; Carnivora; Felidae. The record is from RNAcentral.